CAGUAGCCGCGGGAAUACGUAGGUGGCAAGCGUUGUCCGGAAUUAUUGCGCGUAAAGCGCGCGCAGGCGGUUUCUUAAGUCUGAUGUGAAAGCCCCCGGCUUAACCGGGGAGGGUCAUUGGAAACUGGGAGACUUAGAGUGCAGAAGAGGAGAGUGGAAUUCCAUGUGUAGCGGUGAAAUGCGUAGAUAUAUGGAGGAACACCAGUGGCGAAGGCGACUCUCUGGUCUGUAACUGACGCUGAGGCGCGAAAGCGUGGGGAGCAAACAGGAUUAGAUACCCGUGUAGUCCCUGUCUCUUAUU
This 301-nucleotide ribosomal RNA is filed under the name uncultured bacterium. Its description in RNAcentral is "partial 16S ribosomal RNA". It matches the Rfam family "Bacterial small subunit ribosomal RNA", at positions 509 to 808 of the family's 1533-position model. The record is from RNAcentral.